UGAGGAAUAUUGCGCAAUGGGGGAAACCCUGACGCAGCGACGCCGCGUGAGUGAUGAAGGCCUUCGGGAUGUAAAGCUCUGUCAGAGGGAAAGAAAGGGGUGUCGGAAUAAUACCAGACACCAUUGACGGUACCCUCGGAGGAAGCACCGGCUAACUCCGUGCCAGCAGCCGCGGUAAUACGGAGGGUGCAAGUGUUAUUCGGAAUCACUGGGAGUAAAGAGCACGUAGGCGGAUAGGUAAGUCAGAUGGGAAAUCCCGGGGCUUAACUUCGGAACGGCAAUUGAUACUGCCUUUCUUGAGUAUGGUAGAGGGGGAUGGAAGUCCCGGUGUAGAUGUGAAAUUCGUAGAUAUCGCGAGGAACACCAGAGGCGAUGGCGAUCCCCUGGGCCAGUACUGACGCUGAGGUGAGAAAGCGUGGGGAGCAAACA
This 429-nucleotide ribosomal RNA is filed under the name uncultured prokaryote. RNAcentral describes it as "bacterial SSU rRNA". It matches the Rfam family "Bacterial small subunit ribosomal RNA", at positions 355 to 774 of the family's 1533-position model. The record is from RNAcentral.